This is a non-coding RNA of Podarcis lilfordi (Lilford's wall lizard), 12637 nucleotides long. Lineage: Eukaryota; Metazoa; Chordata; Lepidosauria; Squamata; Lacertidae. The record is from the annotation of a GenBank genome assembly.
CCUAAAAUACAGCAUUCUUUUGGCAUUUGUUCCACACAAGUGAAUAAAGAAACCCACAGCGACAGUUCUUCAGAGUAAACCUCUUGUAUUCAUGAGAAGCAGCUGUGCUCCUGGCUGGGGAGAAAUCGAUUGCCAUGAAGCCAAGGUAUUUGCAUAUGAACUGAAAAGGUGGAUUCUAUUGAUGAAAACCAGGCCAAUGAAACAUCCUUUUAUUAAACCCCCCCCCCUCAUUUCUGCAAACACUACCAAGGGGAAGGUAGUUGAGGCGGGAACCGCCUCAAAUAUAUUAUCUCCUGAGUCUCCCGUUUGAAAGGAGUACAAGUAGGCUUUUGAACUACCGGUCGUUCUACAUUUCUUAUCUUUAUAGAACCAACACAGCUACUAAAUCUCUGACUGAAACCAUCAUUCUAAUGAAAUGAAACACAAUUUUACGCAGCACAGCAGGUUUUCCACUGAGACACAUUUACAAACUCUCUAUAAAGCUUCCUCAUUUUAAAUAUACCAAAUCACAAAAACGCAAAUGGAAAGUGAAAAGAGUGGGAAAGAAAGGGGAAAGGGCGGCUACACAAUUGGUGUUAUCCCCCUUAAAUCAUACUCAAGAGUAAACCCCUGAAAAUAAUUUGAUUUACUCUGAAUAUGACUAAUAUUGGUCAAUCCAAGAAUAGUCCCCUCCCCUUAAAAUUGUGAUUUGAGGAAUCAUAGAAGGGGUGGAGUGUGUGGAGACUGUAGGUAAUUCAGUUUAUCUACAAGAUAGAGCUGGAGUAAUAACAUUUAAUCUGCCAAAUGAUGACGUCUCCCAACAGAUUUUUAUCAAAUGAUGAGAUUUAACAAGUUGUCUAUGUCCUUGAUUCUAGCGUUUGGCUUUUCUUACAAAAAGGCCAUCUUUGUCGGUUUGUAACAUUCCACAGCACACUAAUUCAUUUAAUUCAAAGAAAUGCUACUGGUUUUGAUGGUAUCACUCAUCAGUCAAUGGGUGUGGGCUGCGUAUUAACUAGGAAAUCGAGAUCUGGUGUAGUAUAGUUGUUUUCUAAUUUUGCCUCUGUCAUGAAUUUGUGCAAUGUAAGGGCACCUUUUUUUUUUUUUUUUUUGGCCCAGGUACAGUCAUACCUCAUGUUACGUUUGCUUCAUGAUACGUUUUUUCAGGUUGCAUCCCGUGGUGACCCGGAAGGGUUACUUCCAGGUUUUGCUGCUUGCGUAUACGCAGACACGCAAAAUGACGUCACGUGCAUGCGCAGAAGUGGCGAAUCGCAUCCUGCAAGUGCGCAGAUGCGCCGAGAAGCAGGUUGCAUUCUAUUCAUGUUGUGAACGGGCCUCCGGAACGGAUCCUGUUCGCAACCAGAGGUACCACUGUACAUUCUUUCUUGAUUGGGCGCUCUGCCCUGCUCACAAAAGAGGGCACAGAUUUGCAUACAUGCUGUGCCAUAGGUAAAUUUUCAUUUACCUAUGGCAUAGCAUGUAUUCAUUUGCAAAGCAUGUACUCUUAAGCUACAGCCCCUCCCACUAAAAAUUAUACAAUAUAGUUGGGAAAUAUUGCAAUAAUAAUUUAUAACAAUAUUAUAACAUUCAUAUAAACAUGUUAGAAUCAAGCAAAAAUAAACGAAAACUUACACAGGAACAAAAAUUAACAUUGUGCAACUGCCUACAAAUACUAUGACGUUAGGUAUGCUCCCCACUCUGUCUCAAUUCUUCAUAAGUAAAAUGGGUCUGCCUUUAAGAAGGGGUGGGGGUGGGAAUAAGGAUAGGGGAGAUCAGGAGUACAAAGUGCUUCAAACACCCAUAGAAUUAUAGAGUUGGAAGAGACCACAAGGGCCAUCGAGUCCAACCCCCUGCCAAGCAGGAAACACCAUCAGAGCACUCUGCUGUGGAUGUUACCCCUGAAGCUGGUUUGGAAGCAGCAGCAGAAUUCUAUAGCCAAUUCCAAGCAUUGGCUACUAAUAUAACAACUGUGUUGAAGAAACUGCACUGGUUGCCAGUAUGCUACCAAGCCAUCUUCAAGGUAUUACAAUUAGUAUAUAAUAAAGCCUUAAAGAACCUGAAGCCACUGUACUUAAAAGACCACCUUAGUCCUAUACCUUGCAAUGAGCUCACUUGCCAUGGGUUAGUACAAUUGAUCUUCGACUGGCAACAACACAGAUUCAAACCAGGCAUGGUAUUUCAGAAGACAGGGAUGGUCAUAAGAUUUGCAGCAGCCAAGUAUCAGGUGCCCAUGCUUGGGUAAAUUCAAGAUUAAAUUGUUAAAAAUGAAGCAGUGUAUUCUAAGAGCACUUGUGGUGGCUAUUUAUUAUUUAUACCUCCUAAUAACUGCAGCAAUGUUAUCAGCAAAGGUCAAAAAAUUGCAUCUCUCUCUGUUCCUUUUCUGAGCAAAAAGGAUUCGAGCCUUUGACAUUAGCAUACCCGUUUUAGUGUUUAUAGCAGCAACAGCAAUACAAAUGGUCUGAAAAUAUCUAGAAUUUUGCAGUUUAAAUGUACAGCCCACCUAGGUUUGAUGGGGCUCUCUUUUAUGACUGUGUGGAAUGGUUAGCGCAGGAUGUGAAUAAAUGUAGGAACUACAGGGGUGUCAUAAUAGGAAGAAAGAUGUAUUUGAUAGUUCUAACAGAUAAUGCCAAAGGGAGGCAACAAAAGAAAGAGGCUGGGAGAUUGUAGCGCAUAAAGGGAACAAUGCCAAACCUUUAUCAAAGUAAGGCCUAACUAGUUAAGUACCAUGAUUUAGCAGAAGCAAAGAGGUUUCUCUGUGUCAUAGAAUAAAUGGGUGGGCCUUUUCCCACACUUCCCUCACCUAGCUGCAGUUUGGGAAAACAGUAGCCAGAGUUGUAUGAGUGAGCUGAAAGAGCAGACUGGAAGCUGAAGAAACAGAGACAUGUUUGCUUUAUGCUGGACUUUGGGUCUCUCCUAGAAACCUAAAGGGGAAGCAAAAUCUUUGGGGAUGUUAAUGCUGUGAGCCUCUCCAGCCUAUGUUCUUGUUGUAUAUACAGUGGUACCUCUGGUUACGUACUUAAUUGGUUCCGGAGGUCCGUACUUAACCUGAAAUUGUUCUUAACCUGAAGCACCACUUUAGCUAAUGGGGCCUCCCGCUGCCUCUGUGCCGCCGGAGCAUGAUUUCUGUUCUGCUUCAUCCUGAAGCAAAGUUCUUAACCUGAGGUAAUAUUUCUGGGCUAGUGGAGUCUAUAACCUGAAGCGUAUGUAACCUGAAGCGUAUGUAACCCGAGGUACCACUGCAUGUGCAAAUGAAACCAUAUGUCCUAAAGACACCACAGUCCCUCUUGACCUUCAUUCUAAGGAAGCUGAACUCUGGGUAAUCACUAGAGCCCCUGGAGUCUCUCAUCUCUCAGAGAUUGGGUUGACGUGUUAACAAUACAUUUGAGUUUUGCACUUUGUCUGUGACAAGGUGUUUGGCAAAUCUUUCCUGGUAUCUUACAUAUGUUUGCACCUCAAGUAAUGUGUGCCCUUCUUUCUCUUUGGCUGCUUUACCUUUCAGUAGUGUUCUGUGUUUUUCGGUCCCAGUGGGACACCAAGUGGGCACACAGAGAACUGCAGGAAAAUAAAUUAACAACCCAAAAUUAUUUCUUUAGAUGCAAGGAACACAUUUUGGAAAACCCUGUUGGGUUUUUCCAGCGUUAUGAUUAAAUAUUUUGAAGCAGUUGCACAAUGAACAAUUAGCUCUUAUAUAUGUGAGUGUGGGUAUAUAUAGAGAGCUAUACGUAUAUGUUCAUUUUCUUUCCAGGACGGGGACUGGGUUAGUAGUGUUGCAAAGUAGCUAGUAUUUAAAAGUUACCUUGCCAUUGGAGACGAUGCAGCCAUCCAUGGCUUCUCUUGCCCUGCUCCUCAUUGUUCCAUUCACCCUCCCUGCUUGCAGGCUAGGAGGAGUUAUGCAACCUAGCAAACACAGUGCUUUGGGAAGAGAAUUGGCUCAUGUUUAGCAGCUUGGGGCCACUUUACUUGCAGAAUUUCCUUACCUCCAGUGGCGUAGCGUGGGGGGUGCAGGGGGGGCCAGCCGCACCGGGCGCAACAUCCGGGGGUUAGGGUUAGGGGGCGCAAAUCCACGGGUUAGGGGGCGCAAAUUACUUGCCUUGCCCCGGGUGCUGACAGCCCACGCUACGCCACUGCUUACCUCAUAUGUGCCCACUCAGUGACUUCAAUCUGGCAAACUGGUAUCAGGGCUGGAGCAGCCAUUAGGGAUGAAGGCACUGUCUCAGGUUGCAGAAGCUCCUGAGGUGGGACCUCCAGUGGAGAAGCAGCUCCGGAAAUCAGCACUGAUGCUGGUGGUGCUUCUUUGGCAAUGGCAACAGCUGUGCAGGCAGUGGCAGCAGGGCAGCACUUUCCAUUUCUCCUCAAGCCACCACUGCCUGGCAUUGUUACAGGUGGCACAUACUUGUUUCACAUCGAUAAGAAAUCAGUAUUUUAGUGCGGCAGCACCUACAAUUUGGAACUCCGUGCCUAUGCACAUCAUUGAAGGGUGUCGGCACAUACCUUUGAAUAAUGACUGGUGGCGAGGUUUUAUUUACACAUAUAUCCAGGCUGAACAUUCCAACAGUUGUUUCUCCCUGAUUAGGUUUCUGGAUCGUCUUACCUAAAGUCAUAGCUUUGUUUUCAGUAGUCAUUUCUUUGUUUUCAAAGCAAGCAUCUGUGUAUUCCCAAUUUUAGGUGAGAUUAGACAAGGCUGGCCCCUUGCCUGUUGUUUUUCCCUUAGGACAGUGUUUCUGGGCAGGUGCACCAGACUCUGAGCUUUUAAAAAAGUAAGUCUCUAGCCCUCCUAGAAAGUAAGUUGUGGGCCAAAAUGUGCAGAUACAUUUGUGUGAAAUUAGUGUGAUUGUGGUGUGACCAUCUUGUGUAUUUUCCCUGGUACUGAGGAAUGCUUCUUGUUGCUAUUAGACAGCAACAGGAUCAGUGUUUGUGUGUAUGUGUAAAAUCUAUACUAAUUGAUCUCCACAGUCAGGAUCUGCAGGAUAUAGCUGACUUCCCAUGGUAAGUGUAAGGUUGCCAGGGCUGACUGUCUCUCUAAUUUUGUGUUAUUACACUCCCCAUGGCAGCCAUUUUGUGUUGUGCCCCUCCUCUCCUAACCUAUUUUGUGACUGGCAUCCACAGCUUUCUCUCAAAAUUGAAAAUGUGUCCGCUGGUUGAAAAAGAUUGGUGGUUCCUGCCCUAAGAUGACUGGGCAAUUGUCCUUCUAACCCUAGGAUGGUGUGGCCUCCAGCCUGGUGAUUGGGGAGGGAGGGGAGGGCCUCCAAAAUCUUUCUCCAAAAUGAUAUCUCAUUAAAACAUGAUAAAAUAAUUUUAGUAUGAUUAUAUUUAGUAUUAUUGGCCAGUUAAGUUUAUAGUGCUCAUGUAAUUCUGUUGGAAAACAUAGAACUAGUUGUGGUAAAUCAAUUAGGUAAAGGGAUCCCUGACCAUUAGGUCCAGUCGUGGCCGACUCUGGGGUUGUAGCUAGCGCUCAUCUCGCUUUAUUGGCCGAGGGAGCCGGCGUACAGCUUCUGGGUCAUGUGGCCAGCAUGACUAAGCCGCUUCUGGCGAACCAGAGCAGUGCACGGAAACGCCGUUUACCUUCCCGCCGGAGCGGUACCUAUUUAUCUACUUGCACUUUGACAUGCUUUUGAACUGCUAGGUUGACAGGAGCUGGGACCGAGCAACGGGUGCUCACCCCGUCGUGGGGAUUCGAACCGCCGACCUUCUGAUCGGCAAGCCCUAGGCUCUGUGGUUUAACCCACAGCGCCACCCGCGUCCCUGGUAAAUCAAUUAAGUGUUAAUAUUUACAGAAGCAUAACUUGGGGUGAGAGAAAGGAGCAGCAAGUCAACAUCCUGCCCCACUCUGAGGCGGGACACAUUUGGCUUGAGGAACUGUGUUGCUGCUCUUUGUGUCAAGAUUAAAAAGAAUCAAGCAAUUGUUUUAAAAAUAGAGACCUGAACUUUAUAUGUUUGUUGAAUUAGAGCGUUAAUAAUAGAUAGCACUUACAUUCUGCUGUGGUAUGCUGUUUACAUUGGCUGCUGAAAAAUUCUACUGUAGUAGAAACUGCAUAGAUGGAUGGUAUUUUACUCUGAAAUGAUUCCUGGUUGCUCCUUCCUUUUCGUAGUGUCACUAGGUUUAUGAAAUGACUUUACAAUGUCAACAAGAAGGCUAGCAAGUAUGUACAGGGUGAGUCUUUUAAAAGAGGCUCCGUGGAACAUGUGUACUCUGUAUCCACGGGGCCUCUUUUAAAGGACUCACCCUGUAUAUGCAUGUUGACCUUUUGCAGCCGUGCACUGGAUGCUAUUUUUCAAGAUAUCCCUUAUAUAGUGAGAUUGGAGGGGUGUAGGCUGUAUACUGGAGUUCCUUCUAAUUCAUGGAUCCAGCAAGGAUUCAAUUGCUGGAAUAGCCCUGAAAAUUUAUUGGCAAUAGCUUAAGCAUGUUUUGUUCAGGUAAAAAGGGUUGUUGCGUUGCUCUGUGCCAGAGGCAAAUGGGUGAGCCUCUCUUCCCUCAAAUGUCUGUUAGUUAGAAAGAAAGACAAAAGCCAGACUUGAGGUUUGUAUGAGGUAGAAACGAGAAGCAGGCUAGCCAGCCGAGAGAUUGAGACAUGCCUGAUUUCUGCUGGAAUCCAAGGCUGAGGCCAUGGGAGAAACAAUACUUUCUUGGGGUGUUAAUACCAUAGCUGUCAACUUUCAGAUUUGAAAAUAAGGGAUCAGCAGCCUCACCUGUCCUGGGGAUAGUCUAUGGGAUAUCUAACAAUCUGGGAUAGCAGCGGGAAGCAGCAGGAAACAGCGCUGGAAUAAGGGAAUUUCCCGCAAAAAAAAAGGGAAGGUUGACAGCUAUGGUUAAUGCUAUGAGCCCCUCAUAGAAUUAUGGAAUUGUAGAGUUGGGACUUUAUUAUUAUGAUAAAUAAAUCAUAUAUUAUAAAGACACCACAGCAGGGGUGCCGGGUAUAGGGACUGCAAGGGACUUCUGCCACCUUAAUAUUUUGAGGCAGGGGGCUGUGCCCUCCAAUACUGAGGGGGGCAGUCAUCCCCCGCCACCCCUGGGUGAGUGUUGGUUUGCAGGGCGUGGGGUAGGAGGCUUGGAGGGCGAUUUUCACCCUCUGCACACACACACCUGCGAUAACUAGUGCAUCCCAGCAGGCAUGGCUCAACAUUAGGCAUGCAUGACCGCCCCCCCACCAACGUUGGGCCUAACUCAGUGCACCUGCACCAAAGUUUCUGCUGUUCCUCAUUCCAAGGAAACUGAGCCUUGGGUAAGCGCCUGGAACCCCUGGAAUCUCACACGGCUUGGAGAUUGGGGUGGCAUGCAACAAUAGGCAUGUGCGUGUGCCAGAACAAAAUCCAGCAAAACUCCUGUGCUGAGUGCAUAUUCCUUAAAAGUAUGCCUGUGUAUGUGUAAUAUAUUUAGAUACAUGUGCUUAUACACACACACACAUAGAGCGAGGAUGGAAAUGCUGCAACACUUAAAUAAAUCCAUGCUUCCAUUAAAUCCAUUAAAUUAAGCCAUGGUACCACAGCACUAAUAUCGGACAUAAGCAUUUGCACAGCUCUUAAAAGGCACCAGGCAGAGGUUUAUUUCUGAUCUUAGCAUUGUGGGAUAAGCCUCUGCUGCAGCCUUUUACUAUGAAAGAGCAAGCAGAGACUGAUCUCUGAUGUUAGUGUUGUAGUUCCCAGCACAAUGCCAGAGAUAAGCCUCUGCUGGCUUGAUAAAAAGAAAAGGCAGGAUAUAUAUAUGUAUAUAUAUAUUAUACACACAUACAAUCUUAGCACUGUGAGACUACUGUACUGAUAGCAGAGAUAAACCUCUGCUUGCUCCUGUGGCUUUAACUUUGAAUCUCUUGGUAUCAUAUGACAUCACUUGAAUGACAUGUGUAGCUCCACCUACUUGUCAAAAUAGUCCAUGGAUUUCUGGAUUCUCCCUUCAGUUAGGGCCUUUUAUUUCCAAAGAAUAGCCAUUUAUUUCAAUUGUUAUUGAACCACACUACAUAUUGGCUUACUGGUAGCAGAGUUAUGUAGCUUUUAUACAUCUGAGUGUUUCUUAGAGCUGAUCACAUUUUUAUGUGAUAAGCUUUCCCAUUAAGAUGAUGCCUAUUUGAAAAUUAAAAUUGAUUAGAAACAAUUCUUUUCUGUAUAUUCAUUUUCUUAUGAGAAAUUUCUAGUGAAUUCAUUAGAUGUAAGUCUUGCCAAAGAGAAAUGGUUUGGAUUAUGUGCACUUUGAGAAGAAUCAGCGAAGAAAAGAAAUAACCAAGUAUUUGGCAUAAUGGUGCAGUUUAUGUUAAGCCGUUAUCAAUGUGUGAUGGAAUACUUUACCGUUAGUUCUUCCUUCCACACAGCUGACUUUAUAGUCUCCCCUUUUCAGAAGCAAAUUAGCAUCAGCAUCAAUAGUGAACUUUGUGGUCUUGUGCCUAUAGCAAGGUAUUGAAAUAAGGCCAGCCAUAGAUGCCAAUCCCGUCUUUCCAGUUCUCCUAGCUUAAAGAGUAUUUUUCUUUGUUGUUCUUUUCCAUUUCAACUUUUAAUUUGGAUUUCUGAGUGACUGUAGGAAGAAGUCUAUAAUUCAUAUAUUUUUAGUUAGUUGGCUGAGAGAGGCUUUGCUGAGUGAUGAACUCCAAAGCCAACACUCCAAAACCAUCCAAGUAACAUGUUCUGUGUCAGCAGAAGGAUUUCUGCUUGCGCAAUGGAAUUCUCUGCCCUGAAUCUGUUGUAGGGAGGGUUGGGUGUGGAGUGCGCAAAGGAAGAGUUAGUGGGAAGAACUGUUGUGCAAGAGGAAAUCCUUGCACUGAUAGAACAUGUGAAGUGGAUACCUCCCCUUGUUUCUUUACCUCCAUGGAAUUAAUAGAACUUUCCCCUUGCUUGCUUUAUUACCCUCAAGUAUGCUGGCCACUGCAGCCUUGGUCUGCUUCCUCUGCUAAGGUGAAAAAGGUGCCAAGAGAAGGUCACACCAUAGAAAGUGGAGUUUAGAAGUCUCAGGGGGUGAUAGAGUGGAGUUUUGCCUCCAAGGCUGUCCUGAAGCAGCAGCACUUACAGCAACACAUCCAGAGAGGUGCCUGUCACCAUGACUCAUAACUGGAACUGGAGACACUGUUAUUAACAGCCAGCAUUGGCAAACAUCCAGAGGGCACCGUGUUAGCUACCCCUGCUGCUAUAUCAGGUUCACUUUUGCAUUGGAGUUUGUCAGUUUCUUAUGCUGCUCUCCCCACCCUUCUAUAUACAGAGUCAUACCACCCACCAAAAGGCUUCAUAGUAAUGUGUCCUAAUGUGCUCAGGUGGUAUGAAACUAUCAGUUUAGAAGGCCAGGCUGAAAAACCAAUUAGCUUCUCAUGAGAUCUCCCUUAAGCAGUAGUCCUGAAGGAGAUAGCAAUACAGUACAGGCUUUAGCUUAUGCUGGGGUUACAUUCUGGGGAUAGCACUUAAAGCCAAAACCAUGUAUCGUAAAAAAAGUCUAUUUUCUUGGACGCCAGACCCCUUUCUAUUUAUUUAUUUUUUAAUUCCCAAGCGAAUAAAGCUGAAUACGUUCAAGUUAAAUCCACAUAAAUUGUGAGUUACAACAAAAUGUAUGUGAAAAUGCACUGUGUCCAGGGCUGGAUUUAGGUUUGAUGCGGCCCUAAGCUACUGAAGGUAAUGGGGCCCUUUAUAUGUCCAGAUGUCCUUUGUCAACAACAAAUUGUCAUAUAUUGAAUAUAUGCUAUAUGGUAAUUUAUAUGGUAAUUUAUGAACCUAAUAGGUAUCUAAAGCCAUUUGCACAUAACAAAAUAUGUAUUUUAUCAAAGUAAUUGUUGAACUGAAAUACAAUUAAGAUUAAGGUUUGUUUUUUAUCUUAUAUUUUGGAAAUGAACAUCCAGGUUUUUUUCCUUUAAUUUUUUGGGGCCCCUCCAAGAGAGUGAGGCCCUAAGCUAUAGCUUGUUUAGCUUAUAUGCAAAUCUGGCACUGACUGUGUCUUGUUGCUUCUCCAAGUAGUUCUCAGCUAGGGUACAGUAUUCUAAAUACUGGGGUAUGAAUUGGGGCUUCUAGGUCCAAUAUCAAAGACCAGAAGUGGCUCCAAACUCUGUCCUCUGAUGUAAGGGAAGGCUGAGAUCAUACUGAAGGUUGUGGUCUUCUACAGUGUUCCAUACAUAAUAUAUCCACAGGAAAGUUUUCAUGUGAGCCAGUACAAAAGUAAAAGAACAGAGACAGCAAUUUCUUUCUUUCUUUUUAAUUAUUCCUUCAUAUUCAAACUUCACAAACAGUGUGAACUUGUACAAUACCUCAGAAAGUGAAACUUACAAAAAAAGUGCUGGUAACAUUAAAAAAAAGAAAAAAGAAAAACCCAAAAUAACAAACAUCAUUCUUAGCAACAUCGAUUACUCUUCCACACAAAACAGAAACCUUGUAAAAUUUAUUUCCGUAUCUUUAAGGCGUAAUACUUCCGUAUAAAGUAUAUGCAAGAGAUAAAACUUCACAGUAUUCCAAAAUGUCACAAUAAUAAUAAUAUAGUAUAAUGAAGCGCUACAGUUAAUUUUAUUUUUUUCCUUUUUUCUGUUUUAAAUAACAAAUACAAGUCACAGGUAAAUAUACGUGAGAAAAAUACGAGGCUAAUAUUAAAUGGCAGGUAAGGAUACUCUCACUGUAAGAAAAAACUGGCAGGAUGUGUGUAGUUAUUCUAUAUUUUAAAGCACUUGAUAGAAAAGGCGUAUGCAAGGUUUUUAAAAACAAUUCUCAGUUUACUUGCUUUAUAACUGACAUACCAUUUACAGAGUAAAAUGAGAGAAAAAAAAGGAACUCAGUAUUCCCUCAAAACUUUUGACCUGCUCGUCUCAUUUUCUUAAACCAUGUUGCACUGUAUAAAGGUGUGUUUUUGUGUUUAUGUAUAAGUACACUUACAGCCACUACAACACACUUUGGAUUAGGCAGAAACUAGUAUCUCCAGGAGAAGUAUCUUUGCUCAAAAGGGAUCUUGUUUUGAAGCCUUUACAUUUGGAAAUCAUUGUUUUAAUUUAUGUAAAGACUGCAGGAUUAGUCUUCAACGUAGUUUUUCCCAUUCACUCAGUUACUAAUGAUUUUGGGGACAUUUCUUUGCCCAAUGUAUGAAAUUAUCCAGUCCUCAAACAUAGAGAAAUUCUAAUGCUUUAAAAAAGCAUACUAAAAAAGCAGAAAGAUAGGGCAAGUUUUGAAAUCAGCACUGGAAUCAUACAUUAUAUAGUCAACCCUUCAAAAUGCUGGACCAAGGAAUGGGAAAACAUGGGUAGAAGUUCACUUAAUAGAAAUAUCACUGUUGUGUGUUUGCAUGUGUGCAAGUGUAUUGUCUUGUAUGAUGGCUUGUAUGUGUGGAAUGCUGUGGACACACGCAAGUCAUACCUUGCUCCUGCACACAUUUGUAUAUGUUAACAGCCAGCCAUUCAGCUAACAGGUAACAGAAAGACAGCAGAUAGCAUAACACAUCAAUAAGGUGCUCAAAGGAAAAAGGGUGGCUACCACUCUUGGAAUGGGAAGCCACAUUAAGGUGCUUCAAAAAGGUUUUUUUUAAAAAAAACAAACAACUACAUUUAGUUCAGAAAUGUACAGAUUUUUGCACAUAGUGAUUGAGAGCAAGGCCAAAAGUUAAGAGAUUUCUGACAUCUUCCAUAAACAGGGGCUUUUUUGUUACAGGUUUUGUUACUUUUUUGUUGGGUGGGUCAGUGAACAAAAAAACUAAUCAAAAAGUGCAGAACCCGAACUGUGUCGUUUAGAUUGUAAUAGUUUUUGCCCAAUCAUUCAGUUGCUUUCAUUUAGCACCGUUCCUUUUUCUUCCGGUUACAAUCCGUUCCUACUGUAGUUAUUGUACAUACAGAAAGGACCAAGUUACUUGCAAGUAGCUGUUUGUAUUUGUGAUCUGUUUCAAGAGUCCAACUAUUAUUCAUCUGCUGCUUCUGUGUUUGUGAAAAAUCUGGUUUUGUAGCUGUGAAAAGGGAGGCUAAUCUCCUCUCACACUUCCAGCUUUGUGUGUAUGUGUGAAUACAUAUCUGUAACCCCAUCACACAUGAGAGUAUAUUAUAACUGGAGAUAAAGUGAACUGGGUUCAGACAUUAGUGCACUAUCUUUCCCCUGUGCAUUUGAAACAGUCUCCAACUUUUUUUUUUUUUUAAAGUGCAUUUAACAUGAAAUAAAUUGGGCAUUUAUGUGCCCUUUGGAAAACACUUCAGAAGCGAAAAAUGUCUGACUUGUGUAGAUUUAGAAACGCCAAUAGUGAAUGGGUAAUAGUAAGAUCAAAUAGGCAGAUGUUCUCAGACAAUUAAUGUCUUUUCCAAUAUAGCAACACCAUGAGUGACACAAAAAGGUGGAAGGGAUUUGUUUUGAAUUUUGGCAUUUUGACUUUUUUGAUAGAAUGAAUUUGGACUAACAACAACAGCAACAACAACAACCUGCCCAUCCGGCUAGAAUAGUUUGUUCAGAGCUUCAGUCACUUCUCCCCUUUCAUCUGUGCCGAUGUGACAACUUGGAAUCUGACUUAGUUAGAUUUAAAAGAGGACCUGGGUGCUUAUGUGCCAACAUCUAUUAGGAAUAAGGCACUGUAGAAAUCUCAGCAUCCUCUUUUUCUCAACGCUGAGAUAUUGCAUGUUAUAUAGUUAAUUCUUCUAUUUCGCAUGUGUCAAAAACAGGUUCUGGAAAAGGAAUUUAAUCUUUUGUCUUAUCAGCACCAAAGAGCUCUAGAUCAGCACCCUUUGUCUCUACACACAUGCAC